UACAGAGGGUGCGAGCGUUGUCCGGAAUCACUGGGCGUAAAGGGCGCGUAGGUGGCGAGCCAAGUCCAUGGUGAAAGCUCGAUGCUCAACAUCGAGUCGGCCACGGAUACUGGUGCGCUUGAGCACUGUAGAGGCUAAUGGAAUUCCGGGUGUAGCGGUGGAAUGCGUAGAGAUCCGGAAGAACACCGGUGGCGAAGGCGGUUAGCUGGGCAGUUGCUGACACUGAGGCG
This 230-nucleotide ribosomal RNA is filed under the name uncultured bacterium. RNAcentral describes it as "partial 16S ribosomal RNA". It matches the Rfam family "Bacterial small subunit ribosomal RNA", at positions 524 to 753 of the family's 1533-position model. The record is from RNAcentral.